UCCGGACUCCUACGGGAGGCAGCAGUGGGGAAUAUUGGACAAUGGGGGCAACCCUGAUCCAGCCAUGCCGCGUGUGUGAAGAAGGCCUUUUGGUUGUAAAGCACUUUAAGCAGGGAGGAGAGGCUAAUGGUUAAUACCCAUUAGAUUAGACGUUACCUGCAGAAUAAGCACCGGCUAACUCUGUGCCAGCAGCCGCGGUAAUACAGAGGGUGCGAGCGUUAAUCGGAAUUACUGGGCGUAAAGCGAGUGUAGGUGGCUCAUUAAGUCACAUGUGAAAUCCCCGGGCUUAACCUGGGAACUGCAUGUGAUACUGGUGGUGCUAGAAUAUGUGAGAGGGAAGUAGAAUUCCAGGUGUAGCGGUGAAAUGCGUAGAGAUCUGGAGGAAUACCGAUGGCGAAGGCAGCUUCCUGGCAUAAUAUUGACACUGAGAUUCGAAAGCGUGGGUAGCAAACAGGAUUAGAUACCCUGGUAGUCCACGCCGUAAACGAUGUCUACUAGCCGUUGGGGUCCUUGAGACUUUAGUGGCGCAGUUAACGCGAUAAGUAGACCGCCUGGGGAGUACGGCCGCAAGGUUAAAACUCAAAUGAAUUGACGGGGGCCCGCACAAGCGGUGGAGCAUGUGGUUU
RNAcentral lists this ribosomal RNA (626 nucleotides) under Moraxella sp. TID-15. Its description in RNAcentral is "bacterial SSU rRNA". It matches the Rfam family "Bacterial small subunit ribosomal RNA", at positions 330 to 947 of the family's 1533-position model. Lineage: Bacteria; Pseudomonadati; Pseudomonadota; Gammaproteobacteria; Moraxellales; Moraxellaceae. The record is from RNAcentral.